Molecule: ribosomal RNA, 254 nt
Filed under: uncultured bacterium
Lineage: Bacteria
Description: partial 16S ribosomal RNA
Rfam family: Bacterial small subunit ribosomal RNA
Source: RNAcentral
UACGUAGGGCGCAAGCGUUGUCCGGAAUUAUUGGGCGUAAAGAGCUCGUAGGCGGCUUGUCACGUCGAUUGUGAAAGCCCCGAGGCUUAACCUCGGGUCUGCAGUCGAUACGGGCUAGCUAGAGUGUGGUAGGGGAGAUCGGAAUUCCUGGUGUAGCGGUGAAAUGCGCAGAUAUCAGGAGGAACACCGGUGGCGAAGGCGGUUCUCUGGGCAUGUCCUGACGCUGAGGAGCGAAAGUGUGGGGAGCGAACAGG